This 244-nucleotide ribosomal RNA is filed under the name uncultured bacterium. RNAcentral describes it as "partial 16S ribosomal RNA". It matches the Rfam family "Bacterial small subunit ribosomal RNA", at positions 528 to 772 of the family's 1533-position model. The record is from RNAcentral.
GAAGAUGCGAGCGUUAUCCGGAUUUAUUGGGUUUAAAGGGAGCGUAGGCGGGACGGUAAGUCAGCGGUCAAAUGUCCGUGCUCAACGCGGUCAUGCCGUUGAAACUGUCGUUCUUGAGUGCAUGCGGGGAAAGUGGAAUUCGUGGUGUAGCGGUGAAAUGCUUAGAUAUCACGAAGAACUCCGAUAGCGAAGGCAUCUUUCCGGCCUGCAACUGACGCUGAGGCUCGAAAGUGCGGGGAUCAAA